This 411-nucleotide ribosomal RNA is filed under the name uncultured bacterium. Its description in RNAcentral is "bacterial SSU rRNA". It matches the Rfam family "Bacterial small subunit ribosomal RNA", at positions 505 to 916 of the family's 1533-position model. The record is from RNAcentral.
GUGCCAGCCGCCGCGGUAAUACGUAGGGUGCAAGCGUUAAUCGGAAUUACUGGGCGUAAAGCGUGCGCAGGCGGUUAUGUAAGACAGGUGUGAAAUCCCCGGGCUUAACCUGGGAACUGCGUCUGAUACUGGGAGGCUUGAGUAUGGGAGAGGGAUGUAGAAUUCCAGGUGUAGCGGUGAAAUGCGUAGAUAUUGGGAAGAACACCGGUGGCGAAGGCGGCCAUCUGGCCCAUUUUUGACGCUGAGGCGCGAAAGCGUGGGGAGCAAACAGGAUUAGAUACCCUGGUAGUCCACGCUGUAAACGAUGAGUGCUAGACGUCGGGGAGCUUGCUCUUCGGUGUCGCCGCUAACGCAUUAAGCACUCCGCCUGGGGAGUACGGUCGCAAGAUUAAAACUCAAAGGAAUUGACGG